GACGAACGCUGGCGGCGUGCUUAACACAUGCAAGUCGAACGGAAAGGCCCCUUUGGGGGUACUCGAGUUGCGAACGGGUGAGUAACACGUGAGUAACCUGCCCUUGACUUCGGGAUAACUUCAGGAAACUGGGGCUAAUACCGGAUAGGAAUCCUUGCUGCAUGGUGGGGGUUGGAAAGCUUCGGCGGUUUUGGAUGGACUCGCGGCUUAUCAGCUUGUUGGUGGGGUAGUGGCUUACCAAGGCUUUGACGGGUAGCCGGCCUGAGAGGGCGACCGGCCACAUUGGGACUGAGAUACGGCCCAGACUCCUACGGGAGGCAGCAGUGGGGAAUAUUGCACAAUGGGCGGAAGCCUGAUGCAGCAACGCCGCGUGCGGGAUGACGGCCUUCGGGUUGUAAACCGCUUUCAGCAGGGGCGAAGCUUGUGGUGACGGUACCUGCAGAAGAAGCACCGGCUAACUACGU
RNAcentral lists this ribosomal RNA (464 nucleotides) under uncultured bacterium. Its description in RNAcentral is "partial 16S ribosomal RNA". It matches the Rfam family "Bacterial small subunit ribosomal RNA", at positions 28 to 506 of the family's 1533-position model. The record is from RNAcentral.